AUUGAACGCUGGCGGCAUGCCUUACACAUGCAAGUCGAACGGCAGCGGACCUUCGGGUGCCGGCGAGUGGCGAACGGGUGAGUAAAGUAUCGGAACGUACCUUUCAGUGGGGGAUAACGUAGCGAAAGUUACGCUAAUACCGCAUAUUCUCUGAGGAGGAAAGCAGGGGACCUUCGGGCCUUGCGCUGAUGGAGCGGCCGAUAUCAGAUUAGCUAGUUGGUGGGGUAAAGGCCUACCAAGGCGACGAUCUGUAGCGGGUCUGAGAGGAUGAUCCGCCACACUGGGACUGAGACACGGCCCAGACUCCUACGGGAGGCAGCAGUGGGGAAUUUUGGACAAUGGGCGAAAGCCUGAUCCAGCCAUGCCGCGUGAGUGAAGAAGGCC
This 384-nucleotide ribosomal RNA is filed under the name uncultured bacterium. Its description in RNAcentral is "bacterial SSU rRNA". It matches the Rfam family "Bacterial small subunit ribosomal RNA", at positions 30 to 416 of the family's 1533-position model. The record is from RNAcentral.